Molecule: long non-coding RNA, 248 nt
Filed under: Elaeis guineensis (African oil palm)
Lineage: Eukaryota; Viridiplantae; Streptophyta; Magnoliopsida; Arecales; Arecaceae
Description: long non-coding RNA (EGUI_LNC042064)
Source: RNAcentral
CGUGUCCCAUCAUCCAUUCUGUAACUUUAUUUUGCUAUGGUGUUCCUUGUAUAGUAUGAUACUCUCUAUACCUUUAUUCUUAUAAAACUUGUCAAAUUCAUCUAAAUAAUACUCAAAGCUAUUAUUGAUUCUCAGUAUUUUAAUCUUCUUUGUAGUCUGCUUGUUAACCAAAUAUUUCUAUUGUUUAAAUUUGACAUCACUUUAUCAUUAUUUUUAGAAAAUAUAUCUAGACCUUUUUAAAAUAAUCA